This 643-nucleotide ribosomal RNA is filed under the name Septoriella chlamydospora. RNAcentral's name for it is "SSU rRNA". It matches the Rfam family "Eukaryotic small subunit ribosomal RNA", at positions 449 to 1098 of the family's 1831-position model. Lineage: Eukaryota; Fungi; Ascomycota; Dothideomycetes; Pleosporales; Phaeosphaeriaceae. The record is from RNAcentral.
UCCCGACACGGGGAGGUAGUGACAAUAAAUACUGAUACAGGGCUCUUUUGGGUCUUGUAAUUGGAAUGAGUACAAUUUAAACCUCUUAACGAGGAACAAUUGGAGGGCAAGUCUGGUGCCAGCAGCCGCGGUAAUUCCAGCUCCAAUAGCGUAUAUUAAAGUUGUUGCAGUUAAAAAGCUCGUAGUUGAAACUUGGGUCUGGCUGGCAGGUCCGCCUCACCGCGUGUACUUGUCCGGCCGGGCCUUCCUUCUGGAGAACCUCAUGCCCUUCACUGGGCGUGUUGGGGACCAGGACUUUUACUUUGAAAAAAUUAGAGUGUUCAAAGCAGGCCUUUGCUCGAAUACGUUAGCAUGGAAUAAUAGAAUAGGACGUGCGGUCCUAUUUUGUUGGUUUCUAGGACCGCCGUAAUGAUUAAUAGGGACAGUCGGGGGCAUCAGUAUUCAAUUGUCAGAGGUGAAAUUCUUGGAUUUAUUGAAGACUAACUACUGCGAAAGCAUUUGCCAAGGAUGUUUUCAUUAAUCAGUGAACGAAAGUUAGGGGAUCGAAGACGAUCAGAUACCGUCGUAGUCUUAACCGUAAACUAUGCCGACUAGGGAUCGGGCGAUGUUCUUUUUCUGACUCGCUCGGCACCUUACGAGAAAU